AUUGACCUCAUCGCAGUCUGGGUAUAAACGGGGCUGGCAAGGGGCGAGGCUGCCUCAGUGCCAGGGCAGGUGGGUGAGCAGGGGGCACCAGAGGGGUCAUGGCAGCUUUCCUGCUCCUGGCACCCCUGCUGCUGCUGGGGACGGCGUCUGGCCAGGCAGACACAGGCACAGGCACAGACACAGAUGGAUGCCUGUGGCUCAGGAACACCACCGAAGGGAAUUUCUCUGUGGAAACAACACCUGAGACUUACCAGCCCAACACAACCUACCUGGUGACCAUCAAGGACGACAGGGACCACAGCAACAGCUCGGGGCCGUUCCUGCUGCAGGCCCUGUCCCCCCAGAACACCUCGGUGGGGCAGUGGGAGAAGUUAAACACGCAGACGUGCAGCUCUGUGCUCACAGCAACGCUGGACGUCUCUGAGAGAGCGGCCAACUGGACAUCCCACGCAGAGAACCACUCCUCAGUGCGGAUCAUCUGCAGAAACCACCCCGGUGCCCUCCAACACCACCUCCACCUCCAGCAGCACUCCCAACUCGGUGGGCAGGGCUCGGGGCAGCUCCUGCCUGCUGGCUGCCCUGCUGCUGCUGCUGCCCACAGCCAGCCUGCUCUCCUAGAGGGGCCCCAGCUCUGCUGCCCCUUCCCCUGCUCAGGAACACGGGGCUGAGCUGAUUUACUCAGGAAAACUCUUCCUUGCUCUGAGAAAUGUGAGAGAAAUGCACCUGCACGGGAAAUGAGAACAGUGAUCCUCCCCUGCUGCCCUCGCCCACGAGCUCAGCAAAAGGAAAUUUCCCCAGCAGAGACCCCUCUGCCCUGGCUGUGCUUUUGUGACCCAAAAAUGGGUGAGCAGAGCCCAAGGAACACGGGACAUUCAUGAAUCCAUGAUUUCCUCAUGGCCUGAAGGCAUCCUGUGAAGCACAAAACGCCUGAAGGGAGGAGAACUCUUCUUCUUUGUCGUCGUCUUCUUCUUCUUUGUCUUCUUCUCCUUCUUCGUUUUCUCCUUCUCCUUCUUCUUCUUCUCCUUCUUCUAUUUCUUCUUCAUCCUCGUCUUCUUCUUUUUCUUCUUCUUCUUCUUCUUCUUCUUCUUCUUCUUCUUCUUCUUCUUCUUCUUCUUCAUCUUCGUCUUCUUCUUCUUCAUCUUUGUCUUAUCUUUGUUCUUCUUCAUCUUCAUCUUUGUCUUCUUCUUCUUCAUCUUUUUCUUCAUCUUCGUCUUCUUCAUCUUCAUCGUCUUCUCCUUCUUCAUCUUCUUCUUUGUCUUCUUCUCCUCCUUCUUCUUCUCCAUCUUCUCCUUCUUCUUGUUCUUUGUCUUCCUCCUCUUCCUCCUCUUCCUCCUCUUCCUCCUCCUCUUCCAAGAAGCUCCAGGAGGGCUCUGCCUUUGCCUCCUCUUCCUCCUCUUCCUCCUCUUUCCGUCCAUCCCCUCCUGGCACAGCCCUGGCUGUCGGGGAGCGGAGCUGAGCCUGGGGAGGGAAAUCCAGCCCGAAACCCCCAAACCCCCAGGCUGAGCCCAGCACCGGCUGCAGAGCCCCCACACCCAGCCCAGGAAUUUCUGCUCCAAAACCUGAAUUUCAUUCUUCCAGCAGAUGAUUCUCUUUGUUCUCCCUCUGGUUUUCCCCCUGGAAAGGCAAGGUGGGCAUUUUGUGUUCCUCUUUUAUUUUUUUAAUCAACAGCUGAUUUUACUGCAAGGCAAGAUUAUUGUGUGGGCCAAUGGAUGUCUUGAUUUUAUUGUUGUUUGUAUUUUUAUAUGGGAAAAGCGUGUAUUUAGAAAUUUUUCAAAUUGUGGAAAGCAAUUUUUUUUUCAUUAAACAAAUCUAAAUAAAAUAAGGAAUCAAAAUUGGUUCUUGCA
This 1844-nucleotide long non-coding RNA is filed under the name Junco hyemalis (dark-eyed junco). RNAcentral describes it as "lncRNA (ENSJHYG00000005897.1)". Lineage: Eukaryota; Metazoa; Chordata; Aves; Passeriformes; Passerellidae. The record is from RNAcentral.